RNAcentral lists this ribosomal RNA (247 nucleotides) under uncultured Lactobacillus sp. RNAcentral's name for it is "partial 16S ribosomal RNA". It matches the Rfam family "Bacterial small subunit ribosomal RNA", at positions 116 to 355 of the family's 1533-position model. The record is from RNAcentral. Lineage: Bacteria; Bacillati; Bacillota; Bacilli; Lactobacillales; Lactobacillaceae.
CGUGGGGAACCUGCCCCAUAGUCUGGGAUACCACUUGGAAACAGGUGCUAAUACCGGAUAAUAAAGCAGAUCGCAUGAUCAGCUUUUAAAAGGCGGCGUAAGCUGUCGCUAUGGGAUGGCCCCGCGGUGCAUUAGCUAGUUGGUAAGGUAAAGGCUUACCAAGGCGAUGAUGCAUAGCCGAGUUGAGAGACUGAUCGGCCACAUUGGGACUGAGACACGGCCCAAACUCCUACGGGAGGCAGCAGCC